AUGGCGGAAAGUGCUUUCCACUAUGAGCGUUGGCGGAAAGGGACACAUGUCGCUUUGUUGUGCUUCUGCCAGGGCAUUUUGCCAUACCAAAUAGAAAUUAAAAAUCUAACCACUAUUCAAGCUUCAUACCGUGUCUCUGGUGCCAUCUCAGCCUUUACACCAUGUGUAGACAUCCAUGUCUUCACCGUGAAGCUCCCGGUGCUGCUCUUGAAGCCCCGACACCCAAAGCAAAGGGAUGUCAACCACAGCUGUUGCAAACUACCCAACCCCUCAACACGCCUCAGGUUUGGAGAAUCAAGUAGCCCUAACUCUCUCACUUUGAGGAAGGUUCGAUACUCUUUCCAGGCCCUCACAACCUACAAUCAGAAGUUUCUCAGAGAGGAACUGGAGGUCCUCCACCACCUUCAAGCAACUUGCUCCUCUUAA
This 426-nucleotide ribosomal RNA is filed under the name Triticum aestivum (bread wheat). RNAcentral's name for it is "partial small subunit ribosomal RNA". The record is from RNAcentral. Lineage: Eukaryota; Viridiplantae; Streptophyta; Magnoliopsida; Poales; Poaceae.